UUGAUAUUUGAUUCUUCAGACUAAAAAAGACAUCGUUGGAGCAUAAAGGCGACGCCGACAGGCGCCGAAGCACAUCUUGUGUUCCACAGUGGUUUGAGGGUAAGAAGAUCAAGGAUGAUCAUUCGUUAAUGAUCCCUCCGCAGGUUCACCUACGGAGA
This 158-nucleotide unclassified non-coding RNA is filed under the name uncultured fungus. RNAcentral describes it as "sequence contains ITS1". Lineage: Eukaryota; Fungi. The record is from RNAcentral.